RNAcentral lists this ribosomal RNA (460 nucleotides) under uncultured bacterium. RNAcentral describes it as "partial 16S ribosomal RNA". It matches the Rfam family "Bacterial small subunit ribosomal RNA", at positions 338 to 795 of the family's 1533-position model. The record is from RNAcentral.
CCUACGGGUGGCUGCAGUGAGGAAUAUUGGUCAAUGGACGGAAGUCUGAACCAGCCAUGCCGCGUGAAGGAAGACUGCUCUAUGAGUUGUAAACUGCUUUUAUACAAGAAUAAACUUGUCUACGUGUGUUCAUUUGUAUGUACUAUAUGAAUAAGGAUCGGCUAACUCCGUGCCAGCAGCCGCGGUAAUACGGAGGAUCCGAGCGUUAUCCGGAUUUAUUGGGUUUAAAGGGUGCGUAGGUGGAUUGUUAAGUUAGUUGUGAAAUGUUGCGGCUCAACCGGAAAAUUGCAGUUGAUACUGGCGAUCUAGAGUACAGUAGAGGUAGGCGGAAUUCAUGGUGUAGCGGUGAAAUGCUUAGAUAUCACACAGAACACCGAUUGCGAAGGCAGCUCACUAAACUGCAACUGACAUUGAGGCACGAAAGUGUGGGUAUCAAACAGGAUUAGAUACCCGAGUAGUC